AGCGAACGCUGGCGGUAGGCCUAACACAUGCCAGUCGAACGGCAGCACAGUAAGAGUUUGCUCUUACGGGUGGCGAGUGGCGGACGGGUGAGGAAUACAUCGGAAUCUACUUUUUCGUGGGGGAUAACGUAGGGAAACUUACGCUAAUACCGCAUACGACCUACGGGUGAAAGCAGGGGAUCUUCGGACCUUGCGCGAUUGAAUGAGCCGAUGUCGGAUUAGCUAGUUGGCGGGGUAAAGGCCCACCAAGGCGACGAUCCGUAGCUGGUCUGAGAGGAUGAUCAGCCACACUGGAACUGAGACACGGUCCAGACUCCUACGGGAGGCAGCAGUAGGGAAUAUUGGACAAUGGGCGCAAGCCUGAUCCAGCCAUACCGCGUGGGUGAAGAAGGCCUUCGGGUUGUAAAGCCCUUUUGUUGGGAAAGAAAAGCAGCAGGUUAAUACCCCGCUGUUCUGACGGUACCCAAAGAAUAAGCACCGGCUAACUUCGUG
RNAcentral lists this ribosomal RNA (492 nucleotides) under uncultured bacterium. RNAcentral's name for it is "partial 16S ribosomal RNA". It matches the Rfam family "Bacterial small subunit ribosomal RNA", at positions 29 to 507 of the family's 1533-position model. The record is from RNAcentral.